UACGUAGGGUCCGAGCGUUGUCCGGAAUUACUGGGCGUAAAGAGCUCGUAGGUGGUUUGUCGCGUUGUUCGUGAAAACUCACAGCUCAACUGUGGGCGUGCGGGCGAUACGGGCAGACUUGAGUACUGCAGGGGAGACUGGAAUUCCUGGUGUAGCGGUGGAAUGCGCAGAUAUCGGGAGGAACACCGGUGGCGAAGGCGGGUCUCUGGGCAGUAACUGACGCUGAGGAGCGAAAGCGUGGGGAGCGAACAGG
This 253-nucleotide ribosomal RNA is filed under the name uncultured bacterium. RNAcentral describes it as "partial 16S ribosomal RNA". It matches the Rfam family "Bacterial small subunit ribosomal RNA", at positions 524 to 776 of the family's 1533-position model. The record is from RNAcentral.